Molecule: ribosomal RNA, 468 nt
Filed under: uncultured bacterium
Lineage: Bacteria
Description: partial 16S ribosomal RNA
Rfam family: Bacterial small subunit ribosomal RNA
Source: RNAcentral
GACGAACGCUGGCGGCGUGCUUAACACAUGCAAGUCGAACGGAAAGGCCCUGCUUUUGUGGGGUGCUCGAGUGGCGAACGGGUGAGUAACACGUGAGUAACCUGCCCUUGACUUUGGGAUGACUUCAGGAAACUGGGGCUAAUACCGGAUAGGAGCUCCUGCUGCAUGGUGGGGGUUGGAAAGUUUCGGCGGUUGGGGAUGGACUCGCGGCUUAUCAGCUUGUUGGUGGGGUAGUGGCUUACCAAGGCUUUGACGGGUAGCCGGCCUGAGAGGGUGACCGGCCACAUUGGGACUGAGAUACGGCCCAGACUCCUACGGGAGGCAGCAGUGGGGAAUAUUGCACAAUGGGCGGAAGCCUGAUGCAGCAACGCCGCGUGCGGGAUGACGGCCUUCGGGUUGUAAACCGCUUUCGCCUGUGACGAAGCGUGAGUGACGGUAAUGGGUAAAGAAGCACCGGCUAACUACGUG